UUUUAGAAUUGACUGAAUCCCUUAGAGUUUUGUUUAGUGAUUGGGUUUCCUUUUGAGUAUAAAGCUUGAUGAUGUGCUUUGGGUUUGAAAAAUUGGGGCUUUUGGGUACAGCCGAAUGUGUUUUGAUUAAGUAUCUGCCUGUAGUUGUUGUGUGGUGUUGUCUUUGACAUCAGUCCAAAAAUUAUGUUGCUUGGUCAUGAGCUCAUGAUGUAUGCUAAAAAUCAUUAUGAAAUUUCUCCCUUUUUUUUCCUAAUUUUUUUAGGUAUCUGUUCUUUUUCUAAAUUUGGAUUGACUAUGCAGAUGGGUAUUUUGCUGGUGGAUAAUAUAUUUUGUUUCUUGUAGUUCAUUUUAAAGAUAUAAACUGUGGCUCUUGAUAGGUAAUGAGGUGUUAGAAGUUGACAGUAAGAAUGUAAAAGCUCUGUACAGUGGUAUGGUUGAAUGGCAUGAUUAAAUGGAUGCUAUACCCAAUAUGGGAAGCUGCUGCCGUUGAUGAAUGGUUAUACAAUGGCGGUCCUUAUGAGCUAAUUGUUCUAUCACCAAGAGCGAGAAAAGGCAGCUGUUGGAGGUGGAGGGGGAUUAGUGCUAAAUUUUAGAUUGUUUUUUGUUAGUGUAGACCACAUGUUCUCACUCUUGUAUAAGUUCUUUAUACAAGUUCUACCAUUUUGGUGAAAUCUUGUAGAAAAAUAUAUGUUUUGGAUAUAUGUAGAAACUUUGUUAAGUUAGUGUGUGUGCUGUGCUUAGUAGUGUGUGGGUGGUGCCUAGUAGUGUGAUGAGGUGUGCCUGUUGUGGUGAUAAAGGGUGCGUGUACUUGGCUAUAUUGAGGCAUGUGCAGUGCAGGUGCAUGAUGUGAAGCUUAGCAAGUGAUCAGAUAGUGAGAGUUAUACAAAAAAGAGUAACCAUGUCGCCAGGAAGCUAGAGAAGC
Quercus lobata is the source of this 922-nucleotide long non-coding RNA. RefSeq lists it as uncharacterized. NCBI's taxonomy places the organism in Eukaryota, Viridiplantae, Streptophyta, Magnoliopsida, Fagales, Fagaceae. The record is from RefSeq and is a predicted model, not a curated record. The transcript is spliced from 3 exons.